This 1823-nucleotide ribosomal RNA is filed under the name human gut metagenome. RNAcentral describes it as "bacterial LSU rRNA". It matches the Rfam family "Bacterial large subunit ribosomal RNA", at positions 1103 to 2925 of the family's 2925-position model. The record is from RNAcentral.
GGCUCAGAAGCAGCCAUUCCUUGAAAGAGUGCGUAACAGCUCACUGGUCGAGCAUGCGGGCGCAGACAAUGUAACGGGGCUAAGCAUUAUACCGAAGCUGCGGAUCUUGCGCGAAUGCGCAAGGUGGUAGGGGAGCAUGCCGUCAACCGGCGAAGGCGGACCCGCGAGGGCCGCUGGAGGAAACGGCAGAGAGAAUGCAGGCAUAAGUAACGAAAAGACGGGUGUGAUUCCCGUCCGCCGAAAACAUAAGGUUUCCAGGGUAAAGGCAAUCUGCCCUGGGUAAGUCGGAGCCUAAGUCCAGGCCGAAAGGCGUAGGCGAUGGUAAUCCGGUUCAAAAUCCGGAACCUCCGGCAUUUCGAUGCCACGACGCAUGAGGCGACGUCCGGCGGGAGAACGGUAGUUCCCGUCCAAGCAUUGAGCCGUCAAGGGAGGGGGUUAAAUGAUCCUCCCAGGCGAGAUGUGACAGCGAGCGGAGAGAAAGUCGAAGCGAAGCGGGCAGAGUCAAGGUGCCGAGAAAGAGUGGCUAGGCAAGGUGCCGGAGUCCGUACCGUAAACGGACACACGUAUGUAGGAUGAGUAAUCUAAGGCGCUCGAGCGACCUCGCGUUAAGGAACUCGGCAAAAUGCGCACGUAACUUCGGAAGAAGUGCGGCUCCUGUUUGAAAGGAUAAGGAGCGGCAGAAAGCAGGCCCAGGCGACUGUUUAUCAAAAACACAGCCAUCUGCGAACCAGCAAUGGGACGUAUAGGUGGUGACACCUGCCCGGUGCCGGAAGGUUAAGGGGAGCGCUCAGGAGCAAUCCGAAGGUGCGAACCGAAGCCCCGGUAAACGGCGGCCGUAACUAUAACGGUCCUAAGGUAGCGAAAUUCCUUGUCGGGUAAGUUCCGACCCGCACGAAUGGUGUAACGAUUUGGGUACUGUCUCAACAAGGGACCCGGCGAAAUUGUAGUAUGUGUGAAGAUGCACAUUACCCGCGAUAGGACGGAAAGACCCCGUAGAGCUUUACUGUAGUUUAACAUUGGAUUCCGGUAACAUAUGCACAGGAUAGGUGGGAGGCGGAGAAGCAGUGAUUUCGGUUGCUGCAGAGCCGACGUUGGGAUACCACUCUUGUGUUACUGGGGUUCUAACCUGUGGCCGUGAUCCGGCACAGGAACAGUGUUAGAUGGGCAGUUUGACUGGGGCGGUCGCCUCCAAAAGAGUAACGGAGGCGUCCAAAGGUUCCCUCAGAAUGGUUGGAAACCAUUCGAAGAGUACAAAGGCAGAAGGGAGCCUGACUGCGAGACCGACAGGUCGAGCAGGGACGAAAGUCGGGCUUAGUGAUCCGGCGGUAUAGAGUGGAAUUGCCGUCGCUCAACGGAUAAAAGCUACCUCGGGGAUAACAGGCUUAUCUCCCCCAAGAGUCCACAUCGACGGGGAGGUUUGGCACCUCGAUGUCGGCUCGUCGCAUCCUGGAGCGGUAGUACGUUCCAAGGGUUGGGCUGUUCGCCCAUUAAAGCGGCACGCGAGCUGGGUUCAGAACGUCGUGAGACAGUUCGGUCCCUAUCCAUCGUGGGCGCAGGAGAUUUGAGAAGAGCUGUCCUCAGUACGAGAGGACCGGGAUGGACGCACCAAGGGUGUAUCAGUUGUCACGCCAGUGGCACAGCUGGGUAGCCAAGUGCGGAUCGGAUAAACGCUGAAGGCAUCUAAGCGUGAAGCCGACUUCAAGAUAAGAUCUCCCAUCCGCAAGGAGUAAGGCCCCAUGUAGACCACAUGGUUGAUAGGUCGCAGGUGGAAGUGCAGUAAUGUACGCAGCUGAGCGAUACUAAUAGGCCGAGGGCUUGAUCAA